Mycena capillaripes is the source of this 90-nucleotide non-coding RNA. The record is from the annotation of a GenBank genome assembly. NCBI's taxonomy places the organism in Eukaryota, Fungi, Basidiomycota, Agaricomycetes, Agaricales, Mycenaceae.
GACCUGAUAGUACAGCUGGUUGGUGAAUCUUUUAGUAUUACUAUCGUGCACUAUAACCAGAAAACCCUGGUUCGAAUCCGGGUCAGGUCA